This 314-nucleotide unclassified non-coding RNA is filed under the name uncultured fungus. RNAcentral describes it as "partial contains 5.8S ribosomal RNA and internal transcribed spacer 2". The stretch from base 1 to 133 matches the Rfam family "5.8S ribosomal RNA", at positions 22 to 154 of the family's 154-position model. Lineage: Eukaryota; Fungi. The record is from RNAcentral.
UGGUUCUGGCAUCGAUGAAGAACGCAGCGAAAUGCGAUAAGUAAUGUGAAUUGCAGAAUUCAGUGAAUCAUCGAAUCUUUGAACGCACAUUGCGCCCCUUGGUAUUCCGGGGGGCAUGCCCGUUCGAGCGUCAUUUCACCACUCAAGCCUGGCUUGGUGUUGGGCCACGGGGGCGACCCGGGCCUCAAAGUCGUCGGCCGGACGGUCCGAAUCUCAGCGUCGUGGCAAACAUAAUCGCUGGCGAGACGGGCGACCCGCGCCGUGAAACUUCUAUAUCACAGGUUGACCUCGGAUCGGGUAGGGAUGCCCGCUGA